RNAcentral lists this long non-coding RNA (552 nucleotides) under Sus scrofa (pig). Its description in RNAcentral is "lncRNA (ENSSSCG00070017098.1)". Lineage: Eukaryota; Metazoa; Chordata; Mammalia; Artiodactyla; Suidae. The record is from RNAcentral.
CUUUUCAAUGAAACGGAGGUAUAUUUUCUUUUAUAUUGUUGACUUUGACCCUGCAGCUUAGCAAAGAACACUUGUGCAACAUUUUCUAGAUCAAUUGAUCACCCCCUCCGAGCAGACUUGCCCUUUUCUCAUCUUUAAAGGGAAACCAGGCCCAUCGACAUAAUCCCCCAUUCUGCUUUGUUUCUCUCCAGGUCUUCAGGCUGUAGAUUCUGAAAUAUGAAUGAAGGGAUGUGAAAGUGAUGGGCUCUGUCCUUACACCCAGCCCCAGUGGGAGCUUGGGCAGGGAGUGGGAGGAUGAGAAACGUCUUCAUUUUACACAACAAAGUGCUUCUCCAAGGGCUCGUAAAAGGCGCCUGCAAAAACCUCUGCCUUCCUGUGCCUCCCAGCCCCGAGGUUCUCAGGCUCAUCUGGCUCAACUGCGCUUUCUCCAGCGAUAACUCAGGAGCCCCAUUCAACCCGCGGAGUGGCAGGUAUAGGGUGUCACCCCUCAGAGCCCUGAGGAUGAGGGUGAGCGUCCAGGCAGCAGCCAAGCCCCCAAGGCUGGCCCACUGA